UGAAGCGCCUGUGCUCUGCCGAGA
This 24-nucleotide microRNA is filed under the name Homo sapiens (human). RNAcentral's name for it is "hsa-miR-7706". Lineage: Eukaryota; Metazoa; Chordata; Mammalia; Primates; Hominidae. The record is from miRBase by way of RNAcentral.